Molecule: ribosomal RNA, 460 nt
Filed under: uncultured bacterium
Lineage: Bacteria
Description: partial 16S ribosomal RNA
Rfam family: Bacterial small subunit ribosomal RNA
Source: RNAcentral
CCUACGGGAGGCAGCAGUGAGGAAUAUUGGUCAAUGGGAGAGAUCCUGAACCAGCCAAGCCGCGUGAGGGAAGACGGCCCUAUGGGUUGUAAACCUCUUUUGUCGGAGAACAAAACCCGGGACGAGUCCCGGACUGCGUGUAUCCGAAGAAAAAGCAUCGGCUAACUCCGUGCCAGCAGCCGCGGUAAUUCGGAGGGUGCGAGCGUUAUUCGGAAUUAUUGGGUUUAAAGGGUGGGUAGGCGGGCUGGUUAGUCAGCCGGUAAAUUUGGGUGGUUAACCCUGGCCGGCAGGUUGAUAUUGGCAGACUUGAGUGGGCGAGAAGUACGCGGAAUGCGCGGUGUAGCGGUGAAAUGCAUAGAUAUCGCGCAGAACUCCGAUUGCGAAGGCAGCGUACCGGCGCCAGACUGACGCUGAGGCACGAAAGCGUGGGGAGCGAACAGGAUUAGAUACCCCGGUAGUC